AUUGAACGCUGGCGGCAGGCCUAACACAUGCAAGUCGAACGGUAACAGGAAGAAGCUUGCUUCUUUGCUGACGAGUGGCGGACGGGUGAGUAAUGUCUGGGAAACUGCCUGAUGGGGGGGGAUAACUACUGGAAACGGUAGCUAAUACCGCAUAAUGUCGCAAGACCAAAGAGGGGGACCUUCGGGCCUCUUGCCAUCGGAUGUGCCCAGAUGGGAUUAGCUAGUAGGUGGGGUAACGGCUCACCUAGGCGACGAUCCCUAGCUGGUCUGAGAGGAUGACCAGCCACACUGGAACUGAGACACGGUCCAGACUCCUACGGGAGGCAGCAGUGGGGAAUAUUGCACAAUGGGCGCAAGCCUGAUGCAGCUAUGCCGCGUGUAUGAAGAAGGCCUUCGGGUUGUAAAGUACUUUCAGCGGGGAGGAAGGGAGUAAAGUUAAUACCUUUGCUCAUUGACGUUACCCGCAGAAGAAGCACCGGCUAACUCCGUG
Molecule: ribosomal RNA, 490 nt
Filed under: uncultured bacterium
Lineage: Bacteria
Description: partial 16S ribosomal RNA
Rfam family: Bacterial small subunit ribosomal RNA
Source: RNAcentral